GCAAGUCGAGCGGAUCGAUGGGAGCUUGCUCCCUGAGAUCAGCGGCGGACGGGUGAGUAACACGUGGGUAACCUGCCUGUAAGACUGGGAUAACUCCGGGAAACCGGGGCUAAUACCGGAUAAUUUAGUUCCUCGCAUGAGGAACUGUUGAAAGGUGGCUUUUCGCUACCACUUACAGAUGGACCCGCGGCGCAUUACCUAGUUGGUGAGGUAACGGCUCACCAAGGCAACGAUGCGUAGCCAACCUGAAAGGGUGAUCGGCCACACUGGGACUGAAACACGGCCCAAACUCCUACGGGAGGCAGCAGUAGGGAAUCUUCCGCAAUGGACGAAAGUCUGACGGAGCAACGCCGCGUGAGUGAAAAAGGUUUUCGGAUCGUAAAACUCUGUUGUUAGGGAAAAACAAGUGCCGUUCGAAUAGGGCGGCACCUUGACGGUACCUAACCAAAAAGCCACGGCUAACUACGUGCCAGCAGCCGCGGUAAUACGUAGGUGGCAAGCGUUGUCCGGAAUUAUUGGGCGUAAAGCGCGCGCAGGUGGUUUCUUAAGUCUGAUGUGAAAGCCCACGGCUCAACCGUGGAGGGUCAUUGGAAACUGGGGAACUUGAGUGCAGAAAAGGAAAGUGGAAUUCCAAGUGUAGCGGUGAAAUGCGUAGAUAUUUGGAGGAACACCAGUGGCGAAGGCGACUUUCUGGUCUGUAACUGACACUGAGGCGCGAAAGCGUGGGGAGCAAACAGGAUUAGAUACCCUGGUAGUCCACGCCGUAAACGAUGAGUGCUAAGUGUUAGAGGGUUUCCGCCCUUUAGUGCUGCAGCUAACGCAUUAAGCACUCCGCCUGGGGAGUACGGUCGCAAGACUGAAACUCAAAGGAAUUGACGGGGGCC
Molecule: ribosomal RNA, 884 nt
Filed under: Rossellomorea aquimaris
Lineage: Bacteria; Bacillati; Bacillota; Bacilli; Caryophanales; Bacillaceae
Description: bacterial SSU rRNA
Rfam family: Bacterial small subunit ribosomal RNA
Source: RNAcentral